CGAGAUGCAGACGGCGAGACAAGGCAAGGAUUGUCGCGCGGGCGCGGGCUGGAGGGUGGGGAGGAGCCGAGGGUCUGGUCCCCGACACAGCCCGACUCACGCCUGAGGAACCGAAUUCCCCAGAGAGGGGAAGUGACCUUUUGAGGAGGGUCCAGGAGAAGCGGGGGCGGGUCUUGACCACAGCUCUGACCCGGAGGAAGACUGGACCGCGAGGCCUGGGGUGGCGCACGGCGUGGGCGACGGGCCCGGAGGGACCGGGGAGCCUGAGGCGGGUCGCGCGGACAUCGCCGCGGGUCUGGGUUCAACAAAGCCACGGAACCUGCCUAUCUCUUCCCGCGGCGCGGGGACAUGCACCGGGGCUGCAAAAGGGCACAGGGACGAGAGCGCGCCCCUAAAAGACCACCUGCACCAUUUUUAAAAAAGUGACCCCUUGCAGGAGGCUCUCGGAUUUUUUUUUUUUUUUUUGGAACCACAACGCGACCGGAAGUAGGUUUGCCCCUAUCAAAGAUGGCGGAAAGCUUGCUGGUCUCCAAGGGAACAUCACGUAAUGGCUUCAAGCGGGAGGGGACCGACUGCGCACGCGUACGUGUGCACGCCACCGGAAGGGAUGCGUUUAGA
RNAcentral lists this long non-coding RNA (618 nucleotides) under Rattus norvegicus (Norway rat). RNAcentral describes it as "long non-coding RNA NONRATT007377". Lineage: Eukaryota; Metazoa; Chordata; Mammalia; Rodentia; Muridae. The record is from RNAcentral.